This 468-nucleotide ribosomal RNA is filed under the name uncultured bacterium. Its description in RNAcentral is "partial 16S ribosomal RNA". It matches the Rfam family "Bacterial small subunit ribosomal RNA", at positions 28 to 507 of the family's 1533-position model. The record is from RNAcentral.
GACGAACGCUGGCGGCGUGCUUAACACAUGCAAGUCGAACGGAAAGGCCCUGCUUUUGUGGGGUGCUCGAGUGGCGAACGGGUGAGUAACAAGUGAGUAACCUGCCCUUGACUUUGGGAUAACUUCAGGAAACUGGGGCUAAUACCGGAUAGGAGCUCCUGCUGCAUGGUGGGGGUUGGAAAGUUUCGGCGGUUGGGGAUGGUCGCGCGGCUUAUCAGCUUGUUGGUGGGGUAGUGGCUUACCAAGGCUUUGACGGGUAGCCGGCCUGAGAGGGUGACCGGCCACAUUCGGACUGAGGUACGGGCCAGACUCCUACGGGAGGCAGCGGUGGGAGAUAUUGCACGAUGGGCGGAAGCCUGAUGCAGCAACGCCGCGUGGGGGAUGACGGCCUUCGGGUUGUAAACCGCUUUCGCCGGUGACGGAGAGUGAGUGACGGUAAUGGAUAAAGAAGCACCGGCUAACUACGUG